This 475-nucleotide ribosomal RNA is filed under the name uncultured bacterium. RNAcentral's name for it is "bacterial SSU rRNA". It matches the Rfam family "Bacterial small subunit ribosomal RNA", at positions 8 to 472 of the family's 1533-position model. The record is from RNAcentral.
AGAGUUUGAUCCUGGCUCAGGAUGAACGCUAGCUACAGGCUUAACACAUGCAAGUCGCGGGGCAGCAUGUCGGUUGCUUGCAACCGAUGAUGGCGACCGGCGCACGGGUGAGUAACGCGUAUCCAACCUGCCCUUCACCACGGAAUAAUCCAGUGAAAAUUGGUCUAAUACCGUAUGAGGUCAUACGAUGGCAUCAGAAUAUGACGAAAGGUUUGGCGGUGAAGGAUGGGGAUGCGUCUGAUUAGCUUGUUGGUGAGGUAACGGCUCACCAAGGCGACGAUCAGUAGGGGUUCUGAGAGGAAGGUCCCCCACAUUGGAACUGAGACACGGUCCAAACUCCUACGGGAGGCAGCAGUGAGGAAUAUUGGUCAAUGGGCGAGAGCCUGAACCAGCCAAGUAGCGUGCAGGAAGACGGCCCUAUGGGUUGUAAACUGCUUUUAUAUGGGGAUAAAGUGAGUUACGUGUAGCUUAUUGC